This 440-nucleotide ribosomal RNA is filed under the name uncultured bacterium. RNAcentral describes it as "partial 16S ribosomal RNA". It matches the Rfam family "Bacterial small subunit ribosomal RNA", at positions 338 to 795 of the family's 1533-position model. The record is from RNAcentral.
CCUACGGGAGGCAGCAGUGGGGGAUAUUGCACAAUGGGGGAAACCCUGAUGCAGCGACGCCGCGUGUGGGAAGACGGUCCUCUGGGUUGUAAACCACUGUCCCCAGGGACGAAGAUGACGGUACCUGGGGGGGAAGCUCCGGCUAACUACGUGCCAGCAGCCGCGGUAAUACGUAGGGAGCGAGCGUUUUCCGGAAUUACUGGGUGUAACGGGAGCGUGGGCGGGACUGCAAGUUGGGUGUCAAAUCUACCGGCUCAACCGGUAGCCGCACUCAAAACUGCAGUUCUUGAGUGAAGUAGAGGCAGGCGGAAUUCCUGGUGUAGCGGUGAAAUGCGUAGAUAUUAGGAGGAACACCAGUGGCGAAGGCGGCCUGCUGGGCUUUUACUGACGCUGAGGCUCGAAAGUGUGGGGAGCAAACAGGAUUAGAUACCCGAGUAGUC